AGCUUUGCGCAGUGGCAGUAUCGUAGCCAAUGAGGUUUAGCCGAGGCGCAAUUAUUGCUAUUUA
This 64-nucleotide small nuclear RNA is filed under the name Mustela putorius furo (domestic ferret). Its description in RNAcentral is "U4 spliceosomal RNA". It matches the Rfam family "U4 spliceosomal RNA", at positions 1 to 64 of the family's 138-position model. From Rfam's summary of the family: U4 small nuclear RNA (U4 snRNA) is a component of the major U2-dependent spliceosome. The structure of U4 snRNA from yeast and human has been reported. Lineage: Eukaryota; Metazoa; Chordata; Mammalia; Carnivora; Mustelidae. The record is from Rfam by way of RNAcentral.